GGGGCUCAGAAAUAUUCCUUUGCUUCGAGUGUUCUCCAUCUGGAAGAGUUUAGCUAAUUAAACCAAAGAUCGUGGAUGAGUUGGCCCCAUUUAUCUCCAGUGGAUGAAAUCCUUUUCUCUCCAGAGGAUUCUUCAGACAAAUAUCAAAGCUUUGCUGGGAUACCUACCCUUGAAGAACGGAUCACCUAAUAGGGGUACAGAACACAGCUGCCGAAGCAGGAAUUUAUCUUGGCACCUGCUGAUGGACGCGUGCACACAAGGAUCCAGAGAUUGAGUGAAGGAAGAUGCCUGGGACCAAGGAAAGCAGAAAUGGCGGGGCAUGCAUUACCUGUGGCAAUGGGGACACGAUGCAGGCCGGCCAUAGGAUAAAUAGUGUUUUCCAACCCUGCUUGACAGCAAGAAUUGCCCAAGGACCUGGUGGAAAACAGAUUCCCAGGCCUCAUCCCCUGCCGUCUCUGGAGAGGCGCGCGAAUCUAGAGUGUAACAAGUCACCAGGUGAUUCCUAUCAGGCCGUUUUUGGAACACAUCCCGGAACCCUCUACUCCAGUCUCUUGGUUUGGCUCUUUUGUCCUCGAUGCACCUGGCCCCAUAUUCUGUAAAGCUUUAGCUUUUGCUUGAAGGUGGACAUGAUUAAAAGGUCAUCUCUCAUUAUAAAUUCUCAA
RNAcentral lists this long non-coding RNA (662 nucleotides) under Ursus maritimus (polar bear). Its description in RNAcentral is "lncRNA (ENSUMAG00000008942.1)". The record is from RNAcentral. Lineage: Eukaryota; Metazoa; Chordata; Mammalia; Carnivora; Ursidae.